UUAAGCAUUCAAUAAGCGGAGGAAAAGAAACUAACAAGGAUUCCCCUAGUAACGGCGAGUGAAGCGGGAAAAGCUCAAAUUUGAAAUCUGGUAGCCUCAGGCUGCCCGAGUUGUAAUCUAUAGAAACGUUUUCCGCGUUGGCCCAUGUACAAGUCUCCUGGAAUGGAGCGUCAUAGAGGGUGAGAAUCCCGUCCUUGACAUGGACUACCAGUGCUUUGUGAUACGUUUUCAAAGAGUCGAGUUGUUUGGGAAUGCAGCUCAAAAUGGGUGGUAAAUUCCAUCUAAAGCUAAAUAUUGGCGAGAGACCGAUAGCGAACAAGUACCGUGAGGGAAAGAUGAAAAGCACUUUGGAAAGAGAGUUAAACAGUAUGUGAAAUUGUUGAAAGGGAAACGAUUGAAGUCAGUCAUGUCUAUUGGACUCAGCCGGUUCUGCCGGUGUACUUCCUUUAGAUGGGGUCAACAUCAGUUUUGAUCGCUGGAAAAGGGCAGGAGGAAUGUAGCACUCUCGGGUGAACUUAUAGCCUUCUGUCGUAUACAGUGGUUGGGACUGAGGAACGCAGCAUGCCUUUAUGGCCGGGGUUCGCCCACGUACAUGCUUAGGAUGUUGACAUAAUGGCUUUAAACGACCCGU
This 631-nucleotide ribosomal RNA is filed under the name Solicoccozyma terrea. RNAcentral's name for it is "LSU rRNA". It matches the Rfam family "Eukaryotic large subunit ribosomal RNA", at positions 34 to 652 of the family's 3401-position model. The record is from RNAcentral. Lineage: Eukaryota; Fungi; Basidiomycota; Tremellomycetes; Filobasidiales; Piskurozymaceae.